GCAUUGGUAGUACAGUGGUAGAAUUCCUGCCUUCCAUACAGAAGACCAGGGUUCGAUUCCCAGCCAAUGCU
RNAcentral lists this transfer RNA (71 nucleotides) under Loxodonta africana (African savanna elephant). It matches the Rfam family "tRNA". From Rfam's summary of the family: Transfer RNA (tRNA) molecules are approximately 80 nucleotides in length. Their secondary structure includes four short double-helical elements and three loops (D, anti-codon, and T loops). The record is from Rfam by way of RNAcentral. Lineage: Eukaryota; Metazoa; Chordata; Mammalia; Proboscidea; Elephantidae.